CAGAGGUCCCAAGCGUUGUUCGGAUUUACUGGGCGUAAAGGGAGCGUAGGUGGCAUUCUAAGUCUGAUGUGAAAGCUCUGAGCUUAACUCAGAAAUGGCAUUAGAUACUAGUUUGCUUGAGGAUUGGAGGGGAGAUUGGAAUACUUGGUGUAGCAGUGAAAUGCGUAGAUAUCAAGUGGAACACCAGUGGCGAAGGCGAAUCUCUGGACAAUUCCUGACACUGAUGCUCGAAAGCUAGGGGAGCAAACGGGAUUAGAUACCCCGGUAGUCCUAGCUGUAAACGGUGCACGCUUGCUGUAGGUGGAAUCGACCCCGCCUGUAGCGAAGCUAACGCGUUAAGCGUGCCGCUUGGGAAGUACGGUCGCAAGAUUA
RNAcentral lists this ribosomal RNA (372 nucleotides) under uncultured organism. RNAcentral's name for it is "bacterial SSU rRNA". It matches the Rfam family "Bacterial small subunit ribosomal RNA", at positions 526 to 896 of the family's 1533-position model. The record is from RNAcentral.